This 253-nucleotide ribosomal RNA is filed under the name uncultured bacterium. RNAcentral describes it as "partial 16S ribosomal RNA". It matches the Rfam family "Bacterial small subunit ribosomal RNA", at positions 524 to 776 of the family's 1533-position model. The record is from RNAcentral.
UACGGAGGGUGCGAGCGUUGUCCGGAAUCAUUGGGCGUAAAGAGCGUGUAGGCGGUCCGUUAAGUCGGCUGUGAAAGUCCAGGGCUCAACCCUGGGAUGCCGGCCGAUACUGGCGGACUAGAGUCCGGAAGAGGUGAGUGGAAUUCACGGUGUAGCGGUGAAAUGCGCAGAUAUCGGGAGGAACACCAAUGGCGAAGGCAGCUCACUGGGACGGGACUGACGCUGAGACGCGAAAGCGUGGGGAGCAAACAGG